RNAcentral lists this transfer RNA (90 nucleotides) under Puccinia sorghi. Its description in RNAcentral is "tRNA-OTHER". It matches the Rfam family "tRNA". From Rfam's summary of the family: Transfer RNA (tRNA) molecules are approximately 80 nucleotides in length. The record is from RNAcentral. Lineage: Eukaryota; Fungi; Basidiomycota; Pucciniomycetes; Pucciniales; Pucciniaceae.
GACUUGGUAGUCUAGUUGGUAAAGGCGGCACUUUGAGUAUAGUGUCUUGGCUUCUAGCUAAAGUUGCUGGGUUGAAUCCUGCCCAAGUUA